UGAAAAGCACUUUGGAAAGAGAGUUAAAGAGGCCGCGAAACCGUUGGGAGGGAAACGCAUGCAUCCGAACGGGCCCUCGUCGGGUUCAGGGGGCUGCGAAGGGUCGUGCGUGCGGACGGCACCCUAGCGGGUCGUCCGUUCGUCGAGGCUCCUCGUACCCCUGCACUCUCGGCGGUUGUGGCCGGCCAAGCACGGCGGGUUGCGCGCGGUCGACGAGCGCGAGUCGGGCAGGUAGCGCAGCUGCCUUCGGGCAGAGGCGAACUUACAGCCGACCGUGCGGAGCGACCGCCGCCCGCCGAGGAGAGCGGUGGCACUUCCACCCCCGUAGCGCAGGUCCGCUUCCGCGGGCCGGGGCGCUCCCGUCGGUUCGUCGGCCGGGUCGCGUCACUGCGUGCAGUGUCCGGCCUCGGUCGGUUCGUCCGGGCGGGAGGUCGUCCCACGCCUUGCGCUCUGGUCGCUU
This 460-nucleotide ribosomal RNA is filed under the name Corallistes sp. 2 AS-2019. RNAcentral's name for it is "partial 28S ribosomal RNA". The record is from RNAcentral. Lineage: Eukaryota; Metazoa; Porifera; Demospongiae; Tetractinellida; Corallistidae.